AACGAACGCUGGCGGCAGGCUUAACACAUGCAAGUCGAGCGAGACCUUCGGGUCUAGCGGCGGACGGGUGAGUAACGCGUGGGAACGUGCCCUUCUCUACGGAAUAGCCCCGGGAAACUGGGAGUAAUACCGUAUACGCCCUUUGGGGGAAAGAUUUAUCGGAGAAGGAUCGGCCCGCGUUGGAUUAGGUAGUUGGUGGGGUAAUGGCCCACCAAGCCGACGAUCAUAGCUGGUUUGAGAGGAUGAUCAGCCACACUGGGACUGAGACACGGCCCAGACUCCUACGGGAGGCAGCAGUGGGGAAUCUUAGACAAUGGGGGCAACCCUGAUCUAGCCAUGCCGCGUGAGUGAUGAAGGCCUUAGGGUUGUAAAGCUCUUUCAGCUGGGAAGAUAAUGACGGUACCAGCAGAAGAAGCCCCGGCUAACUCCGUG
Molecule: ribosomal RNA, 432 nt
Filed under: uncultured bacterium
Lineage: Bacteria
Description: partial 16S ribosomal RNA
Rfam family: Bacterial small subunit ribosomal RNA
Source: RNAcentral